Molecule: transfer RNA, 42 nt
Filed under: Tetragnatha maxillosa
Lineage: Eukaryota; Metazoa; Arthropoda; Arachnida; Araneae; Tetragnathidae
Description: tRNA-Cys
Source: RNAcentral
AGUUUAUAAAAACAUUAAAUUGCAAAUUUAAAAUUAUUUUUG